UACGGGGGGGGCAAGCGUUGUUCGGAAUUACUGGGCGUAAAGGGCUCGUAGGCGGCCAACUAAGUCAGACGUGAAAUCCCUCGGCUUAACCGGGGAACUGCGUCUGAUACUGGAUGGCUUGAGUUCGGGAGAGGGAUGCGGAAUUCCAGGUGUAGCGGUGAAAUGCGUAGAGAUCGUAAGGAAGGCCAGUGGCGAAGGCGAGUUCCUGGACAGUUACUGACGCUGAGGCACGAAGGCCAGGGGAGCAAACGGG
RNAcentral lists this ribosomal RNA (253 nucleotides) under uncultured bacterium. Its description in RNAcentral is "partial 16S ribosomal RNA". It matches the Rfam family "Bacterial small subunit ribosomal RNA", at positions 524 to 776 of the family's 1533-position model. The record is from RNAcentral.